UACGAAGGGGGCGAGCGUUGUUCGGAUUUACUGGGCGUAAAGGGCGCGCAGGCGGCGUAUCAAGUCAGGCGUGAAAGCCCCGGGCUUAACCUGGGAGGUGCGUCUGGGACUGGUGUGCUAGAGUUCGGGAGAGGAGAGUGGAAUUCCCGGUGUAGAGGUGAAAUUCGUAGAUAUCUGGAGGAACACCAGUGGCGAAGGCGGCUUCCUGGCCUGUAACUGACGCUGAGACGCGAAAGCGUGGGGAGCGAACCGG
This 253-nucleotide ribosomal RNA is filed under the name uncultured bacterium. RNAcentral describes it as "partial 16S ribosomal RNA". It matches the Rfam family "Bacterial small subunit ribosomal RNA", at positions 524 to 776 of the family's 1533-position model. The record is from RNAcentral.